GAUGAACGCUGGCGGCGUGCUUAACACAUGCCAGUCGAACGGAAAGGCCCAAGCUUGCUUGGGUACUCGAGUGGCGAAAGGGUGAGUAACACGUGGGUGAUCUGCCCUGCACUUCGAGAUAAGCCUGGGAAACUGGGUCUAAUACCGGAUAGGGCCACAUUUUGGAUGGUGUGGUGGAAAGUUUUUCGGUGUGGGAUGAGCUCGCGGCCAAUCAGCUUUUUGGUGGGGUAAUGGCCUACCAAGGCAUCGACGGGUAGCCGGCCUGAGAGGGUGUACGGCCACAUUGGGACUAAGAUACGGCCCAGACUCCUACGUGAGGCAGCAGUGGGGAAUAUUGCACAAUGAGCGAAAGCCUGAUGCAGCGACGCUGCGUGGGGGAUGACGGCCUUCGGGUUGUAAACUCCUUUCGCUAGGGACGAAGCGCAAGUGACGUUACCUGGAGAAGAAGCACCGGCUAACUACGUG
This 465-nucleotide ribosomal RNA is filed under the name uncultured bacterium. Its description in RNAcentral is "partial 16S ribosomal RNA". It matches the Rfam family "Bacterial small subunit ribosomal RNA", at positions 28 to 507 of the family's 1533-position model. The record is from RNAcentral.